RNAcentral lists this ribosomal RNA (925 nucleotides) under uncultured bacterium. RNAcentral describes it as "bacterial SSU rRNA". It matches the Rfam family "Bacterial small subunit ribosomal RNA", at positions 1 to 895 of the family's 1533-position model. The record is from RNAcentral.
CUUAGAGUUUGAUCCUGGCUCAGGAUGAACGCUGGCGGCAUGCCUAAGACAUGCAAGUCGAACGAGAUGGCCCAGUGAAGGUUGAGUGCUUGCACAAGACUGAAUCUGGAUUCCCAUCUAGUGGCAGACGGGUGAGUAACACGUGGGUGACCUACCUUUUCGUUGGGGAUAACAGUUGGAAACGAUUGCUAAUACCGAAUAAAAUGUAAGAGUCAAUUUUACAUUGAAAGGAGCCUUUAAAGCUUCGCGAUUAGAUGGGCCUGCGGCGUAUUAACUAGUUGGUGAGGUAAUGGCUUACCAAGGUGACGAUGCGUAGCCGAACUGAGAGGUUGAUCGGCCACAUUGGGACUGAGACACGGCCCAAACUCCUACGGGAGACAGCAGUUAGGAAUAUUCGUCAAUGGAGGAAACUCUGAACGAGCAAUGCCGCGUGAGUGAUGAAGGUCUUAUAGAUUAUAAAACUCUGUUGUAUGGAAAAAACGACUAGGUUAGGAAAUGAACUUAGUGUGAUGGUACCAUACCAGAAAGCCCCGGCUAACUACGUGCCAGCAGCCGCGGUAAUACGUAGGGGGCGAGCGUUAUCCGGAUUUAUUGGGCGUAAAGCGUGUGUAGGCGGUUUAUUAAGUUUAAGAUUAAAGCCCGGGGCUCAACUCCGGUAAGUCUUAAAAACUGGUAGACUUGAGUACGGUAGAGGCAAACGGAAUUUCUGGUGUAGCGGUGAAAUGCGUAGAUAUUAGAAGGAACACCAGUGGCGAAAGCGGUUUGCUGGGCCGUUACUGACGCUGAGGCACGAAAGCGUGGGGAGCAAAUAGGAUUAGAUACCCUAGUAGUCCACGCCGUAAACGAUGAGUACUAAGUGUUGGGGUUACCCAGUGCUGAAGCUAACGUAUUAAGUACUCCGCCUGAGUAGUACGGUCGCAAGGCU